Molecule: long non-coding RNA, 2949 nt
Organism: Equus asinus (donkey)
Lineage: Eukaryota; Metazoa; Chordata; Mammalia; Perissodactyla; Equidae
Source: Ensembl
CUGAGGCUGAGCUUGUGGAUAGGUCUCAGCUGUAUAAGCUUCCUUUCUUCUCCCCCUGAACUCAGGCAGACACACCUGGAACUACUGUGGCACCUGGGAUGCUCCUUGCAGCCAAUGCCAGGAGAAUCGUCCUGGAGGCUUGUCUAGAAGAAUACACGCAGAUCCUGCCAGUGCACCCCAAGGCUCCUUGCAGCAAUGAAACCAUGCCCUUGGCAAUCUGCGGACUGCAGCGGCUCUCCUGGCAGAGUUACGGAUUCUUCAGAGCGCUUUCUCAUCACGUCUGGAGGACAGGACGGGAGCGGAUAACUCUCCAGGAUGACACAUCCAAGAGGAGAUGUAUGACCCGGAAGUCUUCACUGGGAGCUGGAGGGGUCUUUUACAGAGACUGGGAGGUUGGAGAGGGCCAAGGGUUUAGAGUCCGAAGAUCAGAGUUCAGGUCCCUGUGCCCAGCAUUACCUGUGUGACUUUGAACAAGUCACUUCAUCUCUUUGUGUUUCUGUUUCCUCAUCUAUAAAAUGGAGACGUGCGCCUGCUUCACCUGUCCCACGGGGUUGCUGAAGAUCAAAGUGUGGUAACUUCAAGCUCUUAGUCAAGUCUGUGGGGAUGGCCUUUGUGAGGAAAGUGAGAGCUGCUCAUUGUGCCCAGCUGACUGUGGGGUAUGUCCACUUGCUGCAGAUGCCUGUGUGAUGAUUGCCUUUCCAAUCUGCUUGGUCUCUACUGCCUCUGCCUUGACAUUUGGAAGAUUGAGUCAACAUCUCACGACAAAAUUUCCUUAGCUAUUUGUUCCUUAAGUUUAUUAUUCUCUGCCAGGAUCAGAUAUCUUCUUAGAGUUCCCUAUUGUCAAGAGUCUUUGAGAUUAUGUAAUCUACCCCCAUUACUUUACCAAGGAGAAAGAUGAGGUUCAGAGAUGUUAAAUAACCUGCCCAAGGCCACACAGCAGCAACUGACUUUUAGUGAGCACCUACAUAUAUCUUAUUUAAUUCUUAUGACAAAAUCUGAUAAGUAAAUAUUUUUGUUCCUUUUUACAGAUGAGGAAAAUGAGGCACAAAAAGGUCAAGUGCUUUGCCCAAGUUCACAAGAAGAGUAAAUGAGGGAGCUGGGAUUUGAGCCCAGUCUGUUUAGCUCCAAAGUCCAUUUCUUUGCUCAUCCUCUUGCCCAGUGUUGCCUCUCGGUAAGAUGGUGGCAGAGCUUGGAUUGAACCCAAUCUCUGGGCUCUGUGUCUAGUGCUCUUCCCACACACUUUAGAGAAGACAGCCUUGGGCCCUAACUUCCCUUGGGCUGGAGAGGCGUGUAAGACUAGUCCUGGAGUUUGGAAAGGUCCACACUGAGCUCAACUGUUACUGUCUGGCCCUGCUUUUUGGGAAUUGUUUCUCUGGCCAAAGGAGUAUGGGUCUACAGACAUUUCUGAUUUUCAAAUGGAUUCUUCAGUUGCCUGAAGCAAAUGGUUUCUAUCCGUGGUUCUCAGCCAUGCUAUUAAGAUGCAUUGGUGCAGGGCAAGGAGUUGUGAGGUGCCAGCAAUUAAUAAUAGUUAAUGUAAUCUGAGACUGGAGCACCUGGGGAUUUCAGAAUUGGCAGCUGGGACUUCUCUCCCAGAGCCUCAGCGAAGGGAUCGGGGCAUGCAGCACCUUCUGUUUGUUGUUAAAUGGCCUCAAUCCUAUCUCUGCCUCAAGUGUAAACUUUAAUGAGCAUGUCCUGCCACACCGUGUGUAGAACUCUGCACUUUGUUCUUAUUUUACAAAAGGCAGAGUACGUGAUGUGAAAGAACCUAGUGUCUAACAGAGGAGAGGAGAGCAAGCUAGAAAACACACUGCACCUUGUGGUCCAUGCAGCGUGGCGUCCCGUUCAAUGACUGCCUGACCAGCAAAUAAUAAUUAUAAACAAAUUAAAGCAUUCUUGCUGUUUCUCCUGAAAACGCCAUAGCAGAACUUCUGAAAAAUCCUAUUUUUUCCAUCUUAAAGUAUGUCCUUAACACUGCAGCUUUCCAAAGUCUCUCUUCUCCCCCAGCACAAGCUGCUCCCCAAAUCUCUACCCAACUGGACCCCCAUAAACCUGCCUGUCUCUUCAUUUCUCCUUCCUUGCUCAGCCCUUCAUUACGUAGGUCAAUGCAGCCUUUUUAGUGACUUUAAUUUCCCUUCUUCCCCCGUCAUCUUGGUUCUGCACAGUAAAGAAAGGUCUAGGAGCUGAUGGAGAAGUUAAGAUAACUCCCUCCUUAGAUGGAGGUGGGGUGGUUUGAGGCAGAGACUGGGGCUGCUCGUGCAUUUCUUUUUGGUCAAAUCAGCUUUAAGUGCAUCCGCAUGGUAUUAAAUUUAAAGUCUCCAAUUCUUACCAGCUCCUGCUCUAAAGUGUGGGCUCCUGCUCCUCGUGUCACUGGUGUGUAUCUAGAAAACUGUGAAAGUGCAUCUAAACAUUAUUCUAGAAACUGUUAUUAGACAGGCCCAUUUACCCCCCGAACCUAGACAGUAUAUUCUGAAACUGAAAGUCCAUGGUUUGGCAUUUUCUAUUGUUUUGGAUUGUUGAUGCCACUGUUCCCCUCCCUGGGGUAGAUAAUAGAGCUUGUUGACCGUGGGGGCAGAGUGUGUGGGGGGGUGUGAGAGAGAAAUAGUUCCCCGGAGCCUUUAAUAAGAGAAUGGAAAGGAGUUCACAAGAUUGCUAGAAAAUGAUUCCAGAGAAGUAGGGGCAGGACAGGGAGGGAGAACAGCAAUAGCUUUUGAAGGGCGAGAAAACAGAAUAUUUUCCUUUAUUUUGAUGCUGAAAUGUGCAAUGUAUCAGAAUUAAAGAUCUGAUAAAUCUGAAAUAAAGUCAUGUGAUGUUUUAAAAAUUGUAUUGAAUUCUCAAAUCUUUGGCUUCUUGUUUAUAUGACUUUUUAAUUGAGAUCCUUAUUAAACCCACUGCAAUCAACUUUGCUAAUGAGUUCCAUCGUCUAAUUGGUAGUCUGUUGCUAAUGAUGAA